CUUGAUUUGUUAUAAGAGGUCCAGCCUGCCCAGUGACCAUGUUCAACGGCCGCGGUAUCCUAACCGUGCGAAGGUAGCGUAAUCACUUGUUCUUUAAAUGUGGACUAGUAUGAACGGCAUCACGAAGGUUAYACUGUCUCCUUUUUCUAAUCAGUGAAACUAAUCUCCCCGUGAAGAAGCGUGGAUAAAAUUAUAAGACGAGAAGACCCUAUGGAGCUUUAAACAACACAGCACUUACCUGAGAACCUUGAAUGUUUCUGUAACACUAACUCUUAGAGUAAGAUGACUGCAAGUUUUUGGUUGGGGUGACCACGGAGUAUAUCAUAACCUCCAUGUUGAAAGAAUUUUUCUAAGCCAAGAACAACCUAUCUAAGCAUUAAUAAAUUAACAUCUAUUGACCCAAUAAAUUUGACCAACGAAC
This 421-nucleotide ribosomal RNA is filed under the name Rhinella merianae group sp. ABGD cluster 39. Its description in RNAcentral is "partial large subunit ribosomal RNA". Lineage: Eukaryota; Metazoa; Chordata; Amphibia; Anura; Bufonidae. The record is from RNAcentral.